Molecule: small nuclear RNA, 194 nt
Organism: Dermacentor andersoni
Lineage: Eukaryota; Metazoa; Arthropoda; Arachnida; Ixodida; Ixodidae
Product: U2 spliceosomal RNA
Source: RefSeq, a predicted model, not a curated record
AUCUAUCCUACCCUAUGCGAGUGUAGCCAUGGCCAACGCGAGUCAAACUGUAUCUGUUCUUAUCAGUUUAAGAUCUCAUACGGGAUGUAUUUGGACCCAUGACAUGUGGAAGUUGGCUGAUUGUGCGAAGCCUGCUUCACCUCCGCCGUGGGUCGGCCCGGUAUUGCACUACCUUCGAGAUCGCCCCAUCGUUC